This is a transfer RNA of 95 nucleotides. It matches the Rfam family "tRNA". Rfam says of the family: Transfer RNA (tRNA) molecules are approximately 80 nucleotides in length. Their secondary structure includes four short double-helical elements and three loops (D, anti-codon, and T loops).
GGCACUAUAGCCAAGUGGUCUACGGCGACAGAUUCGAACCCACGAACGCUAUCUGUUCCUCUUUGAGGGCGCAGGUUCGAAUCCUGCUGGUGUCG